This 678-nucleotide ribosomal RNA is filed under the name Triticum aestivum (bread wheat). RNAcentral's name for it is "partial small subunit ribosomal RNA". The record is from RNAcentral. Lineage: Eukaryota; Viridiplantae; Streptophyta; Magnoliopsida; Poales; Poaceae.
AUGGCCUCCAAGCCAGGCCCUCUCACCCGGUGGCCAUGGCACGGCCUCGGAAACUACAAGUAUGGGCUGGUUGCUCCGUGGGCGGCGUACAGUGCGUACAGGUUCGUGGCGGCCAAGGCGAGAGGCGAGGAAGGGGACCUGCUCAGCCUCUUCGUGGUGCCGACGAUGCUCCUCCGGCUGCUCCACACCCAGCUCUGGAUCUCCGUCUCCCGCCACCAGACCGCCAGCAGCAAGCAUAGGAUCGUCGGCAAGAGCAUCGACUUCGAUCAGGUCGACAGGGAGAGGAACUGGGACGACCAGAUCAUCCUGACGGCGCUGCUGUUCUACGUGCUCAACUCGGUGCUGCCGAUGAGGCAGGGCCUCCCGUGGUGGAACUCCGGAGGCCUCGUCCUCAGCGUGCUCCUCCACCUCGGCCCCGUUAAGUUCCUCUACUACUGGUUCCACUUCCACCCCGCGCUGCACCACCACUAUCUCUACUCCCGGUACCACUCCCACCACCACGCCUCCGUCGUCAGCGAGCCCGUCACCUCCGUCACUAUCUCUACUCGCCAUGGAGAACGCCUACCUCCUCUACAUCGACUUCAUGAACUGCCUGGGACACUGCAACUUCGAGCUCGUGCCCGAGCGCCUCUUCCACCUAUUUCCCCCUCUCAAGUUCCUCGUGUAAACCCAUCGUAA